GCCGGAUGCAGUAGUGUGCGCCUGUAGUCCCAGCUACUUGGGAGGCUGAGGCGGGAGGAUCGCUUGAGCCCAGGAGUUCUGGGCUGUAGUAUGCUAUGCCGAUCAGGUGUCCACACUAAAUUUGGCAUCAAUAUGGUGACCUCCAGGGAGUGGGGGACACCAGGUUGCCUAAGGAGGGGUGAACCGGCCCAGGUCAGAAACAGCUGGUCAAAACUCCUAUGCUAAUCAGUAGUGGGAUCGCGCCUAUGAAUAGUCACUGCACUCCAGCCUGGGCAACAUAGCAAGACCCCGUCUCUU
Callithrix jacchus (white-tufted-ear marmoset) is the source of this 297-nucleotide unclassified non-coding RNA. It matches the Rfam family "Metazoan signal recognition particle RNA". From Rfam's summary of the family: The signal recognition particle (SRP) is a universally conserved ribonucleoprotein. It is involved in the co-translational targeting of proteins to membranes. Lineage: Eukaryota; Metazoa; Chordata; Mammalia; Primates; Cebidae. The record is from Ensembl.